CAGUAGCCGCGGUAAAACAGAGGGUGCGAGCGUUAAUCGGAUUUACUGGGCGUAAAGCGUGCGUAGGCGGCUUUUUAAGUCGGAUGUGAAAUCCCUGAGCUUAACUUAGGAAUUGCAUUCGAUACUGGGAAGCUAGAGUAUGGGAGAGGAUGGUAGAAUUCCAGGUGUAGCGGUGAAAUGCGUAGAGAUCUGGAGGAAUACCGAUGGCGAAGGCAGCCAUCUGGCCUAAUACUGACGCUGAGGUACGAAAGCAUGGGGAGCAAACAGGAUUAGAGACCCCCGUAGUCCCUGUCUCUUAUAC
Molecule: ribosomal RNA, 301 nt
Filed under: uncultured bacterium
Lineage: Bacteria
Description: partial 16S ribosomal RNA
Rfam family: Bacterial small subunit ribosomal RNA
Source: RNAcentral